Molecule: non-coding RNA, 24 nt
Filed under: Gossypium hirsutum (cotton)
Lineage: Eukaryota; Viridiplantae; Streptophyta; Magnoliopsida; Malvales; Malvaceae
Source: RNAcentral
GUAUCCAAUGUCCAUGAGGAUGGU